UCCAGACUCCUACGGGAGGCAGCAGUGAGGAAUAUUGGUCAAUGGGCGCGAGCCUGAACCAGCCAAGUCGCGUGAGGGAUGACGGCCCUACGGGUUGUAAACCUCUUUUGCCGGGGAGCAAAAAGCGGUACGUGUACCGCAUCGAGAGUACCCGGAGAAAAAGCAUCGGCUAACUCCGUGCCAGCAGCCGCGGUAAUACGGAGGAUGCGAGCGUUAUCCGGAUUUAUUGGGUUUAAAGGGUGCGCAGGCGGCGAGUUAAGUCAGCGGUAAAAUUUCGGGGCUCAACCCCGUCGUGCCGUUGAAACUGGCGUUCUUGAGUGAGCGAGAAGUAUGCGGAAUGCGUGGUGUAGCGGUGAAAUGCAUAGAUAUCACGCAGAACUCCGAUUGCGAAGGCAGCAUACCGGCGCUCAACUGACGCUCAUGCACGAAAGCGUGGGUAUCGAACAGGAUUAGAUACCCCCGUAUCG
RNAcentral lists this ribosomal RNA (467 nucleotides) under uncultured bacterium. Its description in RNAcentral is "bacterial SSU rRNA". It matches the Rfam family "Bacterial small subunit ribosomal RNA", at positions 330 to 793 of the family's 1533-position model. The record is from RNAcentral.